GAGAGAUGGCUCAAAGGUUAAGAGCACUGACUGCUCUUCCAGAGGUCCUGAGUUCAAUUCCCAGCACCCACAUGGUGGCUCACAACCAUCUAUAAUGAGAUCUGGUGCCCUCUUCUGGUGUGCAGAUAUACAUGGAAGCAGAAUGUUGUAUACAUAAUAAAUAAAUAAAAUCUCUAAAAAAAAAAAAAAGAAUUGUAAAGUGGGGCUGGAUUGAUGGCUCAGUGGUUAAGAGCACUGGCUGCUUUUCCAGAGAUCCUGAGUUCAAUUCCCAGCACCCACAUGGUGGCUCACAACCAUCUGUAAUGAGAUCUAGUGCCCUCCUCUGGCCUGCAGGUGUACAUGCAGAGCAUUGUAUACAUAAUAAAUAAAUCUUUAAAAAAAAAGAAUUGUAAAGUAAGAAUUACAUUUACAAUAUCCA
This 418-nucleotide long non-coding RNA is filed under the name Cricetulus griseus (Chinese hamster). RNAcentral describes it as "lncRNA (ENSCGRG00015033846.1)". The record is from RNAcentral. Lineage: Eukaryota; Metazoa; Chordata; Mammalia; Rodentia; Cricetidae.